GAUUUUAGACAGCAGGAAUCACGAGAACUCACAAGAACCCGCAGAUUCACGUUCAAUCGAGUUGAGAUUUCAAUUGAGAUUUCCUAAAAUUAAAGGUCUUAAGUUAACUGAAAUAAAAACAUCUUAAAGGACUGUGACUGGAUCGAUUGACCUGAAAUAGUUAAGAAUCGUGAUGGUCCGAUUACUGAUGCUUUCAAAGAAGUCGGGAAAUCCAAAACAAGGUCCCAGACCUCCAUGGUUCAUACUAGUCUUGAGCUGUUGAAACCAGAACCACAAAGCUUAAGUCAGAACCAGGAGAGUAACCCCUAAUUUUCACCACAUCUGGAGUGGCUCCGAUCCGGAAAGGCAGCGAUUUUAGCUGUACGCCGAUUCCUACCUGAUCCGUUUGUGAGGCGAAUUUUGUGAUGGAUUACAGACAGCAGGAAUCACGAGAACUCACAAGAACCCGAGGAUUCACGUUCAAUCGUGCGAUAACGAGUUGUCUCUCUAAAGACAGACACAUAGACAUAUAAGCAGUAGAUUGUGUCCUUCCAGAGGAGGAAAUCUACUUCUAGACUUCUAGAAUCAGCAUCUCCUCAUCCAUGGUGUCAUCGGGGUGAAAUGACGUCUAAAAACCUUUCACUUGUUUGUCUCCGUCCGAACAAAUGAAAGGUUGUGUUUUAUUUUGAAAAGAAGCCGGAUGUUUUAUUUUGUGUCUGUGCCCGACUUCCUU
Non-coding RNA from Xyrichtys novacula (pearly razorfish), 712 nucleotides. The record is from the annotation of a GenBank genome assembly. NCBI's taxonomy places the organism in Eukaryota, Metazoa, Chordata, Actinopteri, Labriformes, Labridae.